This 1006-nucleotide ribosomal RNA is filed under the name Acinetobacter baumannii. RNAcentral's name for it is "bacterial SSU rRNA". It matches the Rfam family "Bacterial small subunit ribosomal RNA", at positions 18 to 1018 of the family's 1533-position model. Lineage: Bacteria; Pseudomonadati; Pseudomonadota; Gammaproteobacteria; Moraxellales; Moraxellaceae. The record is from RNAcentral.
CCUGGCUCAGAUUGAACGCUGGCGGCAGGCUUAACACAUGCAAGUCGAGCGGGGGAAGGUAGCUUGCUACCGGACCUAGCGGCGGACGGGUGAGUAAUGCUUAGGAAUCUGCCUAUUAGUGGGGGACAACAUCUCGAAAGGGAUGCUAAUACCGCAUACGUCCUACGGGAGAAAGCAGGGGAUCUUCGGACCUUGCGCUAAUAGAUGAGCCUAAGUCGGAUUAGCUAGUUGGUGGGGUAAAGGCCUACCAAGGCGACGAUCUGUAGCGGGUCUGAGAGGAUGAUCCGCCACACUGGGACUGAGACACGGCCCAGACUCCUACGGGAGGCAGCAGUGGGGAAUAUUGGACAAUGGGGGGAACCCUGAUCCAGCCAUGCCGCGUGUGUGAAGAAGGCCUUAUGGUUGUAAAGCACUUUAAGCGAGGAGGAGGCUACUUUAGUUAAUACCUAGAGAUAGUGGACGUUACUCGCAGAAUAAGCACCGGCUAACUCUGUGCCAGCAGCCGCGGUAAUACAGAGGGUGCGAGCGUUAAUCGGAUUUACUGGGCGUAAAGCGUGCGUAGGCGGCUUAUUAAGUCGGAUGUGAAAUCCCCGAGCUUAACUUGGGAAUUGCAUUCGAUACUGGUGAGCUAGAGUAUGGGAGAGGAUGGUAGAAUUCCAGGUGUAGCGGUGAAAUGCGUAGAGAUCUGGAGGAAUACCGAUGGCGAAGGCAGCCAUCUGGCCUAAUACUGACGCUGAGGUACGAAAGCAUGGGGAGCAAACAGGAUUAGAUACCCUGGUAGUCCAUGCCGUAAACGAUGUCUACUAGCCGUUGGGGCCUUUGAGGCUUUAGUGGCGCAGCUAACGCGAUAAGUAGACCGCCUGGGGAGUACGGUCGCAAGACUAAAACUCAAAUGAAUUGACGGGGGCCCGCACAAGCGGUGGAGCAUGUGGUUUAAUUCGAUGCAACGCGAAGAACCUUACCUGGCCUUGACAUACUAGAAACUUUCCAGAGAUGGAUUGGUGCC